CGGGGUGUGGCGCAGCUUGGUAGCGCAUCCGCUUUGGGAGCGGAGGGUCGCAGGUUCAAUUCCUGUCACCCCGAC
Molecule: transfer RNA, 75 nt
Filed under: Rhodococcoides fascians
Lineage: Bacteria; Bacillati; Actinomycetota; Actinomycetes; Mycobacteriales; Nocardiaceae
Also listed under: 5 other names
Description: tRNA-Pro
Rfam family: tRNA
About the family: Transfer RNA (tRNA) molecules are approximately 80 nucleotides in length. Their secondary structure includes four short double-helical elements and three loops (D, anti-codon, and T loops). Further hydrogen bonds mediate the characteristic L-shaped molecular structure. tRNAs have two regions of fundamental functional importance: the anti-codon, which is responsible for specific mRNA codon recognition, and the 3' end, to which the tRNAs corresponding amino acid is attached (by aminoacyl-tRNA synthetases). tRNAs cope with the degeneracy of the genetic code in two manners: having more than one tRNA (with a specific anti-codon) for a particular amino acid; and 'wobble' base-pairing, i.e. permitting non-standard base-pairing at the 3rd anti-codon position.
Source: RNAcentral